UUCCGUAGCGCUCCUGCGGAGGGAUCAUUACCGAGUUUACAACUCCCAAACCCCUGUGAACAUACCUUAUUGUUGCCUCGGCGGAUCAGCCCGCUCCCCGUAAAACGGGACGGCCCGCCAGAGGACCCAAACUCUAUUGUAUUUAGUGUAUCUUCUGAGUAACACAAACAAAUAAAUCAAAACUUUCAACAACGGAUCUCUUGGUUCUGGCAUCGAUGAAGAACGCAGCAAAAUGCGAUAAGUAAUGUGAAUUGCAGAAUUCAGUGAAUCAUCGAAUCUUUGAACGCACAUUGCGCCCGCCAGUAUUCUGGCGGGCAUGCCUGUUCGAGCGUCAUUUCAACCCUCAAACCCCCGGGUUUGGUGUUGGGGAUCGGAUUGCUAGUCAAUCCGUCUCCGAAAUCUAGUGGCGGUCUCGCUGCAGCCUCCAUUGCGUAGUAGCUAACACCUCGCAACUGGAACGCGGCGCGGCCAUGCCGUUAAACACCCAACUUCUGAAUGUUGACCUCGGAUCAGGUAGGAAUACCCGCUGAACUUAAGCAUAUCAAAAUUGCGGAGGAA
Molecule: ribosomal RNA, 558 nt
Filed under: Aschersonia sp. IHB F 2351
Lineage: Eukaryota; Fungi; Ascomycota; Sordariomycetes; Hypocreales; Clavicipitaceae
Description: eukaryotic LSU rRNA
Rfam family: 5.8S ribosomal RNA (bases 181-334)
Source: RNAcentral